UACGGGGGGGGCAAGCGUUGUUCGGAAUUACUGGGCGUAAAGGGCUCGUAGGUGGCCAACUAAGUCAGACGUGAAAUCCCCAGGCUCAACUUGGGAACUGCGUCUGAUACUGGAUGGCUUGAAUUCGGGGGAGGGAUGCAGAAUUCCAGGUGUAGCGGUGAGAUGCGUAGAUAUCUGGAGGAAUACCGGUGGCGAAGGCGGCAUCCUGGACCGAUAUUGACACUGAGGAGCGAAAGCCAGGGGAGCAAACGGG
RNAcentral lists this ribosomal RNA (253 nucleotides) under uncultured bacterium. RNAcentral's name for it is "partial 16S ribosomal RNA". It matches the Rfam family "Bacterial small subunit ribosomal RNA", at positions 524 to 776 of the family's 1533-position model. The record is from RNAcentral.